Molecule: ribosomal RNA, 849 nt
Filed under: Triticum aestivum (bread wheat)
Lineage: Eukaryota; Viridiplantae; Streptophyta; Magnoliopsida; Poales; Poaceae
Description: partial small subunit ribosomal RNA
Source: RNAcentral
AUGGUGGGCUGCUCGAACGGCAGUGUCUUCACCCGCCGCCUAAACUUCACCAGCUGCGGAAACUUCGACCUGGACACCUACGAGCUCGUAUUUGCAGUGCACAGCCCGCUGUGCUAUGAGGGAGGUAUGGCCUUCCUCCCAGGAUUACAUCUCAGAAUGCCCUCUUUGUACAGUUGGGCACAACUCUUCUCCAAAGAAGAAGGGGACGGGUCGUCCUACUUUUACGUCAUGGUGGAGGCCCUGGAUACCAUGGAACCUACGUUAAAUGUGUAUAUGUUACAAAAUGGUGGUAAUGCCUGGCACAAACAUCUCACCUUGGUGUCGGACCUCCUCUGGCGUCCAUCUAGUCCCAAAGGCGUGCUCAUUGACAACAAAAUCUAUGUCGCGACCUACAAUGCAAUUGUUGUCCUGGAUUUGACGUCCUCAAUCUUAUCGACAAUUCAGCUCCCACACGGGGUGGGUUUUGGCCUAGGCGCCACCGUGUUGUCACGGGCCGAUGAUGGUUCUGUUUUAUAUCUCAUCCAUAUCAAGGAGCUUCAACUUCACAUCUGGCUCCACAAUGGGGACAACUGGCUGCUGGUGGACACCAUUUGCUUGAGUGAAAUGUGUGCUAAUUUUCCUGAGGAUGAGCUUACUACUUGUAUCCGGAUAAACCAUGUGGGGGACUAUAAUGAGUAUGUAUUCUUGGAGAUGGAUCAAUAUGCACUCUACUUGGAUGUCAAGUGCAGGACGCUGCGUAAAGUGUGCGAGAUGAUAGCAGAUGAGUAUCAUUUGGGUGAUAUCUAUCCUUUUAUGAUGAGCUGGCCUCCCAUUUUCCCUACUCUCAGUCCUGCAAGGGAUGCCACUUGA